RNAcentral lists this microRNA precursor (78 nucleotides) under Dinoponera quadriceps. RNAcentral's name for it is "microRNA dqu-mir-2b precursor". Its record names the gene dqu-mir-2b. Lineage: Eukaryota; Metazoa; Arthropoda; Insecta; Hymenoptera; Formicidae. The record is from miRBase by way of RNAcentral.
GGGCAUGCUUUUACCAUCAAAGUUGGUUUGUCAUAGAGUUCGCGACUAUCACAGCCAGCUUUGAUGAACAAAAUUGUG